RNAcentral lists this ribosomal RNA (754 nucleotides) under uncultured archaeon. RNAcentral describes it as "bacterial SSU rRNA". It matches the Rfam family "Archaeal small subunit ribosomal RNA", at positions 102 to 859 of the family's 1478-position model. The record is from RNAcentral.
AGUCAACAUGCCCAGAGGACGUGGAUAACCUCGGGAAACUGAGGAUAAACCGCGAUAGGUCAUAAUAUCUGGAAUGAUUUAUGGUUUAAAUCUAUAUGGCCUCUGGAUUGGACUGCGGCCGAUCAGGCUGUUGGUGAGGUAAUGGCCCACCAAACCUAAAACCGGUACGGGCUCUGAGAGGAGAAGCCCGGAGAUGGGCACUGAGACAAGGGCCCAGGCCCUAUGGGGCGCAGCAGGCGCGAAAACUCUGCAAUAAGCGAAAGCUUGACAGGGUUAUUCUGAGUGAUUUCCGCUAAGGAAAUCUUUUGGCACCUCUAAAAAUGGUGCAGAAUAAGGGGUGGGCAAGCCUGGUGUCAGCCGCCGCGGUAAUACCAGCACCCCGAGUGGUCGGGACGAUUAUUGGGCCUAAAGCAUCCGUAGCCGGUUCUACAAGUCUUCCGUUAAAUCCACCUGCUUAACAGAUGGGCUGCGGAGGAUACUAUGGAGCUAGGAGGCGGGAGAGGCAAGCGGUACUUAGUGGGUAGGGGUAAAAUCCGUUGAUCCAUUGAAGACCACCAGUGGCGAAGGCGGCUUGCCAGAACGCACUCGACGGUGAGGGAUGAAAGCUGGGGGAGCAAACCGGAUUAGAUACCCGGGUAGUCCCAGCUGUAAACGAUGCAGACUCGGUGAUGAAUAGGCUUCGUGCCUAUUCAGAGCCGCAGGGAAGCCGUUAAGUCUGCCGCCUGGGGAGUACGGUCGCAAGACUGAAACUUAA